This 484-nucleotide ribosomal RNA is filed under the name uncultured bacterium. Its description in RNAcentral is "partial 16S ribosomal RNA". It matches the Rfam family "Bacterial small subunit ribosomal RNA", at positions 30 to 507 of the family's 1533-position model. The record is from RNAcentral.
AUUGAACGCUGGCGGCAUGCUUUACACAUGCAAGUCGAACGGCAGCACGGGCUUCGGCCUGGUGGCGAGUGGCGAACGGGUGAGUAAUAUAUCGGAACGUACCCAGAAGUGGGGGAUAACGUAGCGAAAGUUACGCUAAUACCGCAUACGAUCUAUGGAUGAAAGCGGGGGACCGCAAGGCCUUGUGCUCCUGGAUCGGCCGAUAUCUGAUUAGCUAGUUGGUGAGGUAAAGGCUCACCAAGGCGACGAUCAGUAGCUGGUCUGAGAGGACGACCAGCCACACUGGAACUGAGACACGGUCCAGACUCCUACGGGAGGCAGCAGUGGGGAAUAUUGGACAAUGGGCGCAAGCCUGAUCCAGCAAUGCCGCGUGAGUGAAGAAGGCCUUCGGGUUGUAAAGCUCUUUUGUCAGGGAAGAAACGGUGGAGGCUAAUAUCCUUUGCUAUUGACGGUACCUGAAGAAUAAGCACCGGCUAACUACGUG